Molecule: long non-coding RNA, 4985 nt
Organism: Brienomyrus brachyistius
Lineage: Eukaryota; Metazoa; Chordata; Actinopteri; Osteoglossiformes; Mormyridae
Exons: 2
Source: RefSeq, a predicted model, not a curated record
AGUUACGGGCUGAACCAUUAGCGCCCGCAGCCGGGGGCUAUAGGGUUCAUUACUUUUUAAAAAAAUCCCGAUAUAUUACUUUACUCUCACAUAUCGGAAGAAUAAGAAGUCUUGGGGUUGAGAUAAAACUGUGAUGUACGUGGAUAUUGGUAUAAAAGUGCAGAUUUUCUGUAACGUCAACAUGGUACGGUCUCACUAGCAGGUUCAUCGCUCAAGUUCCCAACGAGAAAUAGUAGUCCUGUAUCUCCAACGGAGAGUUCGCCACUGACUUAGUUUGGAAAUGUAGUCAAACAUUGUGAACAGCGUGCAGUUGGUUACUAGGUCACUCAUUGAACAUCGGGGACAGCUACCAGGUACAUGGGUCUCAUCCGUCUAUGUUUACCCGGUUCUGCAAUACCAUAGUUAAUCGACUAGUUACAAUACUGCAUAUAUGCUUGGUGUUAAGGUUGUGGUUAAUCUUUGAUGUCCAAAAAUCAGUUGCGAUAAAGAAGUUGUACAGAUAUAUUUGUUAAUGUGUGUAUAGACUAAUGAUUAUUUCUCCAUAUAGGCCUAUUUGCGUCUACAUAUGAAUUUUAAGUAGAGGUUGGCAAGCAAAGGAAGUCAAUGGAUCGCAGUCUUAAUAAUGCAGAAGGUCCAUCUUCUGCUUACGAUUUUAAUUAUGCAAUAACUAUCGCUUCUUAUUAUAUGGGCGCAAAAAUAUUGUCCAUCGCCUUGGUAAAGAAACGAUAAAAAUCUACAUUGGAGAAAACGAGCUGCCUGUCUGAUUUAGUGAGAGGUGGGGUAUUGCUGAAUGGGGUGCCACGCAGUAAGUUAUUGCUUACUUUAAUGUCAUUAUUAUUUGCAAUGGUGUAUCCUCAGAAUCCCCCUUCUGUGCCGAUCUGGGCGUCUGCCAAGUCUACGUGUUUGACUGAUCCGGAGUUCCCGUUUUGCCAGCUUUGCUUUGGCCCGUAAUGCGGUCUCUGUCUGUCUCGGUCCAGCUCUUAAUGCCUGAUGGAGCGUUCCCUUUUCUAAUACAGACUCCAUCCAAAGUUUUGCUAAAAACAAUACGGCAUUGCCAGUGAGAUCCCCAGACUCAGUCUGCCUGCGGGAUUCAAGUCGUUUAUACACAUUUUUAGAGCAGGGGAGAGCAGUGAAUUGGUUCAUUGUUCUUUCCCUGCUGUUACAGUAAAAACAAGGUUUCAGAAGUCAGCAAUACUUAUUAUUUUGAGUAUUAUGAUCUUGGAGAAGAAAAGCGUUUUUUCGUUAGAAUGAAUACAGAAAAGAUGUUAACAAAAAGAAAAUGGGUUCAAAUUCUAUGAACAUAAUGAAAAGCUCGGCUGAGCUAUUUAUUAUCAAAAUAACCGCCUACCAUGCUAGUGCCCGCAUAAAUGGCGCCUUCAAAUAAAAAAGUGCCGGACAGAGACGCGUGUUGCGCUAUUCCUUAGUGAACAGCUGUGCUCUGUACCGACAAAGCAGCUGACGAAUGCUGGCUGUGAUUUCGGCUAAAUAAACUGUUUAAACGUUUAGAUCUAUCGGCAGGGUUUCCUGUGCGGAAUUCGACGUAGCCGCCCGUGUUUCACUGCUGUGGUCCAAAAGAAUUUUUACUUCGAGCAAUUGGCAGCCUUGUAACAACUCAUUUCCAAAAUAAAUUACGCAACUGAAUGGCAUAAUCUGUGGCUCCAAAACGGUUGUUUCCUUAUGUAGUGUAAGGAAAAUGUUUUCAACUAAAUUUCAUUAAUAAUUACUAGCCUUUGGGUGGUAGCUGGUAGUGGAAUGGUCCCAAAAUUUAUAUUAUAUGAAUAUCUUCAUGUGUUGUGUGCACUGAUACUGUGUAAGUGGUGAUGGAUGGAUGGAUGGAUGGAUGGUGGAAGGAUGGAUGAGAAAUGCAGAAGGAAAGAAGGAAAGGAUCACAGACACUUCUGGUAGCGUUACUGAUCUCAGUAGUAAGAAUAACUUACAUUAUACACUGAAGCUUUGGCGUUCAGAAAAAACAGUUCUACUGUGGUGUUUUCUUUCAGAAAUGAAAAGUUCUCAAUAUAGAACCUGGGAAUUCAAACACAGGAAAUAAACAUGAAACAAUAUUUACAUAUAAAUAACUGCACAAAUGAUAGGUUUGAUUUCUGCAAAUGUUUGGAGCACAACUUGACUACACCCAAUUGAUAAUGGUCUACACCUUUACCUUUGUGAUAUAUUUACUUAUAUGGUGUGGCUUCUAGGGCCAGAUGAUAUGGAGCUGUUGGGACUGAUGCCCCCUGCUGGAUAUCAGGCAGUAAGGCGCAAGCCUGCCACACCCAUAUCCCACACUGCUGUUACUCGGUCAACUUCUUUUGCUGCUUUUACACUCUAAGCAAGCGAGAGGACCACGCGCAGGACAAACCCUGGCGGAUAUGAAGAAUCACUGUAGUCUGUAUUCUUCUUAAACCAGAUUGCAUGUACGUCAUGUGGAAGUUCUGACCUGACCAGGAAUUUCAGGGAGAUUGGUCCUGUCCUCUUGGAGAAGUCGUGGUCUAGCACUCUGCGGUCCAGCUGCAGCCACUUGCACUGCCCCCUGGGAAAUGAGGCACAUGACAUUUGUCACUUUUUUUUGUCACUUUGUAUCACUUUGUUUUCUUUGCUCUUUUCAUGAUGUUGUUAGGAUUCGUUGAAAAUAUGAGUUUGACCCCUGAUUAUUAAUUUACAUAAAGCCUUUUGUGCCGUAAUCAUUUUGUACUUUGUUUUCCAAGGUGUAAUACUAUUAAAAUUGAAUUUUCAUAUAUAUUUUUAAUAUUACACUUAAUUUUUAAUAUUUAAUUUUGUAAGAAAUGGUACAAGAGAUAAUAGCAUAGAAACGUAAUUAUCCCAGUAGGACCGUGUGUAUUUAAAACAAUAUACUGGCAGAACAAUUUUCUUAAACUGCUCCCUCCCGUACCGUGUCACGGGCAGUUUAGUGGUUAGCACUGUGGCCUUGCCCCUCCCGGGGGUGGGGGUUUGAAUCCAAAUCUGCUAUAGUGUGUGUCUGUACGUGUAUGUUUAUUUGUUUGCGCAUGUCCUGUGAUGGACCGGCAUCCCGUCCAGGGUGUACCCCAGCCCCGUGCCCCGUGAUGGACCGGCAUCCCGUCCAGGGUGUACCCCAGCCCCGUGCCCCGUGAUGGACUGGCCUCCCGUCCAGGGUGUACCCCAGCCCCGUGCCCCGUGAUGGACCGGCAUCCCGUCCAGGGUGUACCCCAGCCACGUGCCCUGUGAUGGACCGGCAUCCCGUCCAGCGUGUACCCCAGCCCCGUGCCCUAUGAUGGACUGGCCUCCCGUCCAGGGUGUACCCCAGCCCCGUGCCCUGUGAUGGACUGGCCUCCCGUCCAGGGUGUACCCCAGCCCCGUGCCCUGUGAUGGACCGGCAUCCCGUCCAGGGUGUACCCCAGCCCCGUGCCCUGUGAUGGACUGGCCUCCCGUCCAGGGUGUACCCCAGCCCCGUGCCCCGUGAUGGACCGGCAUCCCGUCCAGGGUGUACCCCAGCCCCGUACCCCGUGAUGGACCGGCACCCCGUCCAGGGUGUACCCCAGCCCCGUGCCCCGUGAUGGACCGGCAUCCCGUCCAGGGUGUACCCCAGCCCCGUGCCCUGUGAUGGUCCGGCACCCCGUCCAGGGUGUACCCCAGCUCCGUGCCCCGUGAUGGACCGGCAUCCCGUCCAGGGUGUACCCCAGCCCCGUGGCCCGUGAUGGACCGGCAUCCCAUCCAGGGUGUACCCCAGCCCCGUGGCCCGUGAUGGACCGGCAUCCCGUCCAGGGUGUACCCCAGCCCCGUGCCCCGUGAUGGACCGGCAUCCCGUCCAGGGUGUACCCCAGCCCCGUGGCCCGUGAUGGACCGGCAUCCCGUCCAGGGUGUACCCCAGCCCUGUGCCCUGUGCUUGUUUGCGCAUGAAGUUGCAAGAUGGAUGGGAUUCUCUCAAGAUUACAUUUCUUUUUUUAAAACAAUCCUCCUGUUCAAUUCCAUACUCUGACCAUCAUAUAGAUUUAAGACUGCUGUACCUUUCAUAAUGUAAGGAGGGAGUCUUUAUUUAAUCUCUGCUGGUUGAAGACAUUGACAGGAAAGAGACAGGCUCUGAUGACCCAGCCCACCUACUAACCUAGUGACCCUCACAGAGAGAGUGGACUGGAUAAGGAUGAAAGGAUGUCGGUAAACGAUCUGUCCACAUGAUGCUUGUGGUUCCUUUCACCCCGUACAACUUUCCUUGUUUUCUGGGAAGCUGACGGCUCAGUUUAUUCCCAAGUGUUAACAGAAAACAUGGAAUACAGCUGCUUCCAAAAUGAAGCACAAGGUAAACAUUCAACAAACACGAAGGCUUUUAAAAGACAAUCUGUGAUCCCCCCCCCAUCCCAUACAUACACACACAUGUGUAUACAUACGUGUACUUACGUGUCACCUGUGUAGGUGAUUCCAAAGUACUCCUUCUCCUUAAGGUUAAAGUGGGAAGAUACUAAGUCCAGGAGUUCCCUGGACAGGAGCUUUGGCUGUUGGACAAAGGAGUCAGUACAGGGAUUUAGAUAUCCAUCCAUCCAUCCAUCAUCCACCGCUUAUCCGAGGGAUUCAGAUAGAUCCCUGGAAUUAAAUACCUUACUGAUUAAAAAAGACCAGCUAAAUCGAAAUACAUGGGUUAAAAAUAUAACAUUACAUACAUGAGGCUGAUGAUACUUUCAAGGCUGACAUUCUGUAUCGUUUCAUUCCUGAUCAUCACUCAAUGCUGACGUCCUUCCAAUGAUACCCUGCUAUGGUCAGGCUGCCAUGAUACUGCUCAGGCUGCUUCCCCAGCACCCGCAACCACAGGCAGCGGCUGAAGUCAUUUUGAUGACUUUUGCAUUUUGGGAUGUAACAUUUUCAUGCUCCAGAGCUACCACUGAAAGUAAUGUGAAGUGUGUAUGAUCUAUUAUCUCUAUAUCUAUUAAUUUUUAUGUGAGGGACUGUGUAGUGUGUAUGUGAUCUAUUAUAUUUAGGUCCUUUCCAUUAUAAUAAAUACUUGGCCAGAAUAUGAUGCA